RNAcentral lists this ribosomal RNA (301 nucleotides) under uncultured bacterium. RNAcentral describes it as "partial 16S ribosomal RNA". It matches the Rfam family "Bacterial small subunit ribosomal RNA", at positions 509 to 807 of the family's 1533-position model. The record is from RNAcentral.
CAGCAGCCGCGGUAAUACGUAGGGUGCAAGCGUUAAUCGGAAUUACUGGGCGUAAAGCGUGCGCAGGCGGUUUGUUAAGACAGAUGUGAAAUCCCCGGGCUCAACCUGGGAACUGCAUUGGUGACUGCAACGCUGGAGUGCGGCAGAGGGGGAUGGAAUUCCGCGUGUAGCAGUGAAAUGCGUAGAUAUGCGGAGGAACACCGACGGCGAAGGCAAUCCCCUGGGCCUGCACUGACGCUCAUGCACGAAAGCGUGGGGAGCAAACAGGAUUAGAUACCCCUGUAGUCCCUGUCUCUUAUAC